GUUUCACACAGCGGUACUUAUUUACUACCAACCAUCACAGCAGCGGACAUUUAAACGAGCCAAAUCAAUGCAUAAAUAAUAUUGAAGUUUUGUACAUAUAAAGGUAUUGCUUUGAACAAAAGACGAGUAUUCAAUCUCUUACCUGUGUUUGAGAGAUUUUUAACAAAAGGGGGAAGUAGUAGCUAUCAUGUGGUAGGGUCACGACUGACUUUUAGUUGAUUUGAGACAGAUUUAAAUGAGAAGGACAACACGAUAUGAGGAC
RNAcentral lists this long non-coding RNA (262 nucleotides) under Mytilus galloprovincialis (Mediterranean mussel). The record is from RNAcentral. Lineage: Eukaryota; Metazoa; Mollusca; Bivalvia; Mytilida; Mytilidae.